This 250-nucleotide ribosomal RNA is filed under the name uncultured Eubacteriales bacterium. RNAcentral's name for it is "uncultured Clostridiales bacterium partial 16S ribosomal RNA". It matches the Rfam family "Bacterial small subunit ribosomal RNA", at positions 796 to 1041 of the family's 1533-position model. Lineage: Bacteria; Bacillati; Bacillota; Clostridia; Eubacteriales. The record is from RNAcentral.
CACGCUGUAAACUAUGGAUACUAGGUGUAGGGGGUCAGACCUCUGUGCCGGAGUUAACGCAUUAAGUAUCCCGCCUGGGGACUACGGCCGCAAGGCUGAAACUCAAAGGAAUUGACGGGGACCCGCACAAGCAGCGGAGCAUGUGGUUUAAUUCGAAGCAACGCGAAGAACCUUACCAGUCCUUGACAUCCCUCUGCAGGCAGCUAGAGAUAGCAGUCGUUACCCUUCGGGGUACAGAGGUGACAGGUGG